AGGAUGAACGCUGGCGGUAUGCCUAACACAUGCAAGUCGAACGGGUGUCUUCGGACAUUAGUGGCGGACGGGUGAGUAACGCGUGAGAAUCUGCCUUCAGGAUGGGGACAACAGUUGGAAACGACUGCUAAUACCCGAUAUGACGAAAGUUGAAAGAUUUAUCGCCUGGAGAUGAGCUCGCGUCAGAUUAGCUAGUUGGUGUGGUAAUGGCGCACCAAGGCGACGAUCUGUAGCUGGUCUGAGAGGAUGAGCAGCCACACUGGGACUGAGACACGGCCCAGACUCCUACGGGAGGCAGCAGUGGGGAAUUUUCCGCAAUGGGCGCAAGCCUGACGGAGCAAUACCGCGUGAGGGAGGAAGGCUCUUGGGUCGUAAACCUCUUUUCUCAGGGAAGAACAAAAUGACGGUACCUGAGGAAUCAGCAUCGGCUAACUCCGUGCCAGCAGCGC
Molecule: ribosomal RNA, 449 nt
Filed under: uncultured bacterium
Lineage: Bacteria
Description: SSU rRNA
Rfam family: Bacterial small subunit ribosomal RNA
Source: RNAcentral